CCUACGGGUGGCAGCAGUGAGGAAUAUUGGUCAAUGGUCGGGAGACUGAACCAGCCAAGCCGCGUGAGGGAUGACGGUCCAGUGUAUUGUAAACCUCUUUUGUCAGGGAACAAAGCCGGGGACGUGUCCCCGGAUGAGUGUACCUGAAGAAAAAGCAUCGGCUAACCCCGUUCCAGCAGCCUCGGUUAUACGGAGGAUGCGAGCGUUAUCCGGGGUUUUUGGGUUUAAAGGGUGCGCAGGCGGUAGGUUAAGCCCGCGGUAAAAUUCCGGGGCUAACCCCCGGCCCGCCGUUGAAACUGGCAGUCUCGAGUGGGAGAGAAGUAUGCGGAAUGCGUGGUGUAGCGGUGAAAUGCAUAGAUAUCGCGCAGAACUCCGAUUGCGAAGGCAGCAUGCCGGCUCCACACUGACGCUGAGGCACGAAAGCGUGGGGAUCGAACAGGAUUAGAUACCCGAGUAGUC
This 459-nucleotide ribosomal RNA is filed under the name uncultured bacterium. Its description in RNAcentral is "partial 16S ribosomal RNA". It matches the Rfam family "Bacterial small subunit ribosomal RNA", at positions 338 to 795 of the family's 1533-position model. The record is from RNAcentral.